Numida meleagris (helmeted guineafowl) is the source of this 2088-nucleotide long non-coding RNA. Lineage: Eukaryota; Metazoa; Chordata; Aves; Galliformes; Numididae. The record is from Ensembl.
UAUAAAGCGCUUUUCAUUCCAAUGUAGCUGGAAACUUGGACUUGCUGAGUUUCUCGUGAGCUUGUUUACUGAGUUUUCAAUCUGCUUUUUGAGGCUUAAGGACUCUUCUGCUUAUGAGUCAACCCUGGAACCAGAGCACGUGGUGGAGGAUCAUACCUUAGUUGAGGGUACUUAACCCUGAGCAGGCAGACUGAAGAUUUAGUAAGCAAGCCGAAAAGGACUUCGUAUAGGGUGAGAAAGCAGCCGUUUGGGAGCAGGGGGAAAGGGAGUAUUAUCAGGAGAGAAUCUCAGCUGUACAGCAAUACAUAUGCAAGCUUCCUGUAAGCGCUCUUGAAUCAGCAGGUUUUUUUUAACUUAGGCAUCCACAGGUAUGUGUUUAUGCUCACACACACACACACAAAUAGUGCUGUCAUACAUGAAAGCUUUCCCUGUACAAACCCAUUCCCUCCCCCCUUUUCUUGUCCAGGCUUUAAAUUUCUCGAUGCACUAACCCAGAGCUUUGUUGCUGAGGUUUGGAAACAGCUGUUGGAACCAAGGCCGAGCUCAGAGCUUCUUCCAGCCCCCAGCUUUCCACAGUCCUGUUUCAACACUGCUGUAGGUUCACAGGUGUGCAAAGUUUCCCCAGCCACAGCACUGGCAAACCGCAGAGUGGAGCAGCUGGGAGUUCAGUGCAUACAGAGUUGAAGAGGAGAAACUCUUAAAAGCAGUACUGAACAUGGGUUAAGAAUCUGCCUCUUCAAACUCUAAAAAUUCAGGUGGGUUCAUCUGCCUUACGAACGCUUUACUCAGGCCCCUGGCAGUAUUACAUUAACCUCCUUAAAUACCAGAUUGCUGUGAUCUUGCAAUACCCCAGAAUGGUCUGUUAGCUACCCUGUUUCCCGGUUCUGUCAGAUGAAAGCAUCUGCAGCACGUCACCUUGGUACCCACUGCAGCUCACUGAGUCAGUUAACUCAGUGAGCUGCAGUGGGUACCAAGGAUAUCAACCAACACAGAGCUCAAAGGGCUUCUAUUACACAACCUCAUGUUUUUACAUUUUGAGUGCAAGCAAACAUGAUCUGAGGACUCACGCACAUGGAUUUUGCUGAAAUCAGUAAAAAUUAGCUGCUUAAAUCCCUUGAGGAAACAGGGCAACAGUAUUUUUCAGUGGCCUGGCAUUAAGUCCCAGGUGAAUGAGGUUAUUUAUUCUAGAUAGUGUGAACACCAAGAUGUACCAUGGUAUAUUGGGUGCAUACUACAGUUUGCAAGAAGGACAUAUUUCAGGUUUUGGGUUCAAGUGUAAGUAGGACAGUCUACAGUUAGGCUUAAAAAACAAAGUGAAAAUUUCUCCCAAGCCCGUCUGAUAAUCUCCUGCUGAAAGUUACUCAUGCUGUUGCUUUGAAAAAGCCCUCUCAGUAACUAGUCGUAACAUGAUGGGAAGUACAGCAACAACAGCAGGGAGGCAAAACCUUUAGCUACAACAAACAAAAACAAGCCCAAAUGCAGCAGCUAUAGAUACAAGAACAAUGAAAAAUUCUGCUUACCUUCAGAAGGCCUCAGUUAGGCAGGGAUCUCCAGAAAGAUACCCUCACUUCCACUGCCAACGCUUAAAUGAGGUCUGGGAAGGGGUGGAUCCUGGCUCCACCCCUUCUGGUCACUCAGGUGAAUUGCAUUGCAUGCACCUGAGCUCCCCUGGGCUGGCCCUGCCUUCCCACCGGGUGCUCCAUCACUGGUUCAGGCUGUGACUUAGCAUUUCUGCUGCACUAGCCAUAUUUUUCAGAUUCUGGCUUUAAAUAGCCUUUGAAAAUGGGAAUUAAACUUCCAAGUCAGCAAGGCAUUUUGAAGGUUUUACUUGAGGUUCCUGUUAUAUAAUUUUAUGGCAUCACACAAAACGUGCUGCUAUUUGUGGAGCUGUGCAUUGCCUCCACCGAAUCCUUUCUAAAUCAAUCUGAAGUGCCAUUUCCCAUCUCCUGUCCCAAUCGUGGCUCGUUAAGCAUCAUGAGGAAUGUAAUCUAUUAGCAGUGAUCUCCUUGGCUGGUGAGAGAAUCAGUUAUGAUUCCCCACCUUUUAUAAAACAAAAAAAUAAAAAUAAGAUCAACGUAAGGCCUGCCA